AUUGAACGCUGGCGGCAGGCCUAACACAUGCAAGUCGAGCGGAUGAAGGGAGCUUGCUCCUGGAUUCAGCGGCGGACGGGUGAGUAAUGCCUAGGAAUCUGCCUGGUAGUGGGGGAUAACGUCCGGAAACGGGCGCUAAUACCGCAUACGUCCUGAGGGAGAAAGUGGGGGAUCUUCGGACCUCACGCUAUCAGAUGAGCCUAGGUCGGAUUAGCUAGUUGGUGGGGUAAAGGCCUACCAAGGCGACGAUCCGUAACUGGUCUGAGAGGAUGAUCAGUCACACUGGAACUGAGACACGGUCCAGACUCCUACGGGAGGUAGCAGUGGGGAAUAUUGGACAAUGGGCGAAAGCGUGAUACAGCCAUGCCGCGUGUGUGAAGAAGGUCUUCGGAUUGUAAAGCACUUUAAGUUGGGAGGAAGGGCAGUAAGUUAAUACCUUGCUGUUUUGACGUUACCAACAGAAUAAGCACCGGCUAACUUCGUG
This 484-nucleotide ribosomal RNA is filed under the name uncultured bacterium. Its description in RNAcentral is "partial 16S ribosomal RNA". It matches the Rfam family "Bacterial small subunit ribosomal RNA", at positions 30 to 507 of the family's 1533-position model. The record is from RNAcentral.